Molecule: ribosomal RNA, 271 nt
Filed under: uncultured archaeon
Lineage: Archaea
Description: partial 16S ribosomal RNA
Rfam family: Archaeal small subunit ribosomal RNA
Source: RNAcentral
CAGCGCCACGAGUGGGAAUCGUGUUUAUUGGGCCUAAAGCGUCCGUAGCCGGUUUAGUAAAUCUUUUGUGAAAUCAUCGGGCUUAACCUGAUGGCGUGCAGAAGACACUGCUGAACUAGGAACCGGGAGGAGUCAGAGGUAUGGGAUGGGGAGCGGUAAAAUGCGAUAAUCCAUCCUAGACCACCUGUGGCGAAGGCGUCUGACUAGAACGGAUUCGACGGUGAGGGACGAAAGCCAGGGGAGCGAUCCGGAUUAGAUACCCGCGUAGUCC